RNAcentral lists this ribosomal RNA (908 nucleotides) under uncultured bacterium. RNAcentral's name for it is "bacterial SSU rRNA". It matches the Rfam family "Bacterial small subunit ribosomal RNA", at positions 20 to 918 of the family's 1533-position model. The record is from RNAcentral.
UGGCUCAGGAUGAACGCUAGCUACAGGCUUAACACAUGCAAGUCGAGGGGAAACGAUAGAGAAAGCUUGCUUUUUCUAGGCGUCGACCGGCGCACGGGUGAGUAACGCGUAUCCAACCUGCCCACCACUUGGGGAUAACCUUGCGAAAGUAAGACUAAUACCCAAUGAUAUCUCAAGAAGACAUCUGAAUGAGAUUAAAGAUUUAUCGGUGAUGGAUGGGGAUGCGUCUGAUUAGCUUGUUGGCGGGGUAACGGCCCACCAAGGCGACGAUCAGUAGGGGUUCUGAGAGGAAGGUCCCCCACAUUGGAACUGAGACACGGUCCAAACUCCUACGGGAGGCAGCAGUGAGGAAUAUUGGUCAAUGGGCGAGAGCCUGAACCAGCCAAGUAGCGUGCAGGAUGACGGCCCUAUGGGUUGUAAACUGCUUUUAUAAGGGAAUAAAGUGAGCCUCGUGAGGCUUUUUGCAUGUACCUUAUGAAUAAGGACCGGCUAAUUCCGUGCCAGCAGCCGCGGUAAUACGGAAGGUCCGGGCGUUAUCCGGAUUUAUUGGGUUUAAAGGGAGCGUAGGCCGGAGAUUAAGCGUGUUGUGAAAUGUAGACGCUCAACGUCUGCACUGCAGCGCGAACUGGUUUCCUUGAGUACGCACAAAGUGGGCGGAAUUCGUGGUGUAGCGGUGAAAUGCUUAGAUAUCACGAAGAACUCCGAUUGCGAAGGCAGCUCACUGGAGCGCAACUGACGCUGAGGCUCGAAAGUGCGGGUAUCGAACAGGAUUAGAUACCCUGGUAGUCCGCACGGUAAACGAUGGAUGCCCGCUGUUGGUCUGAAUAGGUCAGCGGCCAAGCGAAAGCAUUAAGCAUCCCACCUGGGGAGUACGCCGGCAACGGUGAAACUCAAAGGAAUUGACGGAA